This is a non-coding RNA of Cinara cedri, 302 nucleotides long. NCBI's taxonomy places the organism in Eukaryota, Metazoa, Arthropoda, Insecta, Hemiptera, Aphididae. The record is from the annotation of a GenBank genome assembly.
GAUUCGAUUAUAAUACCGUAACGCGGCUGUGUAUUGCAAUAUCGCGUUGCGGACGCAACUGUGCGUGUGUGUGUGUGUGUGUGUGUGUGUGUGUGUGUAUAUGUAGGGAUCGAAAUUUCGAGAUUUUAGCGGAAGUGAAAAUUACCGGGAAAAAUCGGGGAUGUGUCUUUCCGGAAAAAAAUGUAUUUAUCGAGACCGUUUUCUCGUGUUGUUUUUGUCCGGAUAACCAUGCAUAAUAACAAUAGAAAUAAAACCGUUCGCCACGCAAUGUAUAAUGUGUGUGCGCAUAAUAAUAUGCAUAG